AACGAACGCUGGCGGCAUGCCUAACACAUGCAAGUCGAACGAGACCUUCGGGUCUAGUGGCGCACGGGUGCGUAACGCGUGGGAACCUGCCCUUAGGUUCGGAAUAACUCCCCGAAAGGGGUGCUAAUACCGGAUAAUGUCUUCGGACCAAAGAUUUAUCGACUUUGGAUGGGCCCGCGUUGGAUUAGCUAGUUGGUAGGGUAAAAGCCUACCAAGGCGACGAUCCAUAGCUGGUUUGAGAGGAUGAUCAGCCACACUGGGACUGAGACACGGCCCAGACUCCUACGGGAGGCAGCAGUGGGGAAUAUUGGACAAUGGGCGAAAGCCUGAUCCAGCAAUGCCGCGUGAGUGAUGAAGGCCUUAGGGUUGUAAAGCUCUUUUACCCGGGAUGAUAAUGACAGUACCGGGAGAAUAAGCUCCGGCUAACUCCGUG
RNAcentral lists this ribosomal RNA (433 nucleotides) under uncultured bacterium. Its description in RNAcentral is "partial 16S ribosomal RNA". It matches the Rfam family "Bacterial small subunit ribosomal RNA", at positions 29 to 507 of the family's 1533-position model. The record is from RNAcentral.